Molecule: ribosomal RNA, 846 nt
Filed under: Flavobacterium sp. H198
Lineage: Bacteria; Pseudomonadati; Bacteroidota; Flavobacteriia; Flavobacteriales; Flavobacteriaceae
Description: bacterial SSU rRNA
Rfam family: Bacterial small subunit ribosomal RNA
Source: RNAcentral
UACACAUGCAAGUCGAGGGGUAUAUGUCUUCGGAUAUAGAGACCGGCGCACGGGUGCGUAACGCGUAUGCAAUCUACCUUUCACAGAGGGAUAGCCCAGAGAAAUUUGGAUUAAUACCUCAUAGUAUUAUUGAGUGGCAUCACUUAAUAAUUAAAGUCACAACGGUGAAAGAUGAGCAUGCGUCCCAUUAGCUAGUUGGUAAGGUAACGGCUUACCAAGGCAACGAUGGGUAGGGGUCCUGAGAGGGAGAUCCCCCACACUGGUACUGAGACACGGACCAGACUCCUACGGGAGGCAGCAGUGAGGAAUAUUGGACAAUGGGCGCAAGCCUGAUCCAGCCAUGCCGCGUGCAGGAUGACGGUCCUAUGGAUUGUAAACUGCUUUUGUACGAGAAGAAACACUGCUUCGUGAAGCAGCUUGACGGUAUCGUAAGAAUAAGGAUCGGCUAACUCCGUGCCAGCAGCCGCGGUAAUACGGAGGAUCCAAGCGUUAUCCGGAAUCAUUGGGUUUAAAGGGUCCGUAGGCGGUUUAGUAAGUCAGUGGUGAAAGCCCAUCGCUCAACGGUGGAACGGCCAUUGAUACUGCUGAACUUGAAUUAUUAGGAAGUAACUAGAAUAUGUAGUGUAGCGGUGAAAUGCUUAGAGAUUACAUGGAAUACCAAUUGCGAAGGCAGGUUACUACUAAUUGAUUGACGCUGAUGGACGAAAGCGUGGGGAGCGAACAGGAUUAGAUACCCUGGUAGUCCACGCCGUAACGAUGGAUACUAGCUGUUGGGAGCAAUCUCAGUGGCUAAGCGAAAGUGAUAAGUAUCCCACCUGGGGAGUACGUUCGCAAGAAUGAAACUCA